GGGAGGAUUGCUUGAGCCCGGGAGAUGGAGGUUGCAGUGAGCUGAGAUCCUGCCACCGCACUCCAGCCUGGGCAAGAGAGUGAGACCU
MicroRNA precursor from Macaca nemestrina (pig-tailed macaque), 88 nucleotides. Lineage: Eukaryota; Metazoa; Chordata; Mammalia; Primates; Cercopithecidae. The record is from Ensembl.